CCUACGGGAGGCAGCAGUGGGGAAUAUUGGACAAUGGGCGAAAGCCUGAUCCAGCAAUGCCGCGUGUGUGAAGAAGGCCUUCGGGUUGUAAAGCACUUUAAGUGGGAAAGAAGUUCAUUCAAUUAAUACCUGGAUGGAUUGACGUUACCCACAGAAUAAGCACCGGCUAACUCCGUGCCAGCAGCCGCGGUAAUU
Molecule: ribosomal RNA, 195 nt
Filed under: uncultured bacterium
Lineage: Bacteria
Description: partial 16S ribosomal RNA
Rfam family: Bacterial small subunit ribosomal RNA
Source: RNAcentral